UGACUAGGUCGCGACUGGCGUAAGGUGGUCAACCACCGGGGAGCGGCGUUGGACGCCUAUUUGACGGCGUUCGGCAGAGUGCAGACCAUGGAUCGAACGCCUGGGACCGGGGU
RNAcentral lists this non-coding RNA (113 nucleotides) under Renibacterium salmoninarum ATCC 33209. RNAcentral describes it as "ZMP/ZTP riboswitch aptamer (pfl RNA motif)". It matches the Rfam family "ZMP/ZTP riboswitch aptamer (pfl RNA motif)". From Rfam's summary of the family: Previously known as pfl RNA. Lineage: Bacteria; Bacillati; Actinomycetota; Actinomycetes; Micrococcales; Micrococcaceae. The record is from Rfam by way of RNAcentral.